GAGUUUGAUCGUGGCUCAGAACGAACGCUGGCGGCAGGCUUAACACAUGCAAGUCGAACGCGUGUAGCAAUACACGAGUGGCGCACGGGUGAGUAACGCGUGGAUAUCUGCCUUUUGGUUCGGAAUAACCCCGGGAAACUGGGGCUAAUACCGGAUGGUUCCUUCGGGAUAAAGAUUUAUCGCCAAAAGAUGAGUCCGCGUACGAUUAGCUAGUUGGUGAGGUAAUGGCUCACCAAGGCGACGAUCGUUAGCUGGUCUGAGAGGACGAUCAGCCACACUGGGACUGAGACACGGCCCAGACUCCUACGGGAGGCAGCAGUGGGGAAUAUUGGACAAUGGGGGCAACCCUGAUCCAGCCAUGCCGCGUGAGUGAUGAAGGCCUUCGGGUUGU
Molecule: ribosomal RNA, 391 nt
Filed under: uncultured Alphaproteobacteria bacterium
Lineage: Bacteria; Pseudomonadati; Pseudomonadota; Alphaproteobacteria
Description: bacterial SSU rRNA
Rfam family: Bacterial small subunit ribosomal RNA
Source: RNAcentral